RNAcentral lists this ribosomal RNA (467 nucleotides) under uncultured bacterium. RNAcentral's name for it is "partial 16S ribosomal RNA". It matches the Rfam family "Bacterial small subunit ribosomal RNA", at positions 29 to 507 of the family's 1533-position model. The record is from RNAcentral.
ACGAACGCUGGCGGCGUGCUUAACACAUGCAAGUCGAACGGAAAGGCCCUGCUUUUGUGGGGUGCUCGAGUGGCGAACGGGGGAGUAACACGUGAGUAACCUGCCCUUGACUUUGGGAUAACUUCAGGAAACUGGGGCUAAUACCGGAUAGGAGCUCCUGCUGCAUGGUGGGGGUUGGAAAGUUUCGGCGGUUGGGGAUGGACUCGCGGCUUAUCAGCUCGUUGGUGGGGUAGUGGCUUACCAAGGCUUUGACGGGUAGCCGGCCUGAGAGGGUGACCGGCCACAUUGGGACUGCGAUACGGCCCAGACUCCUACGGGAGGCAGCAGUGGGGAAUAUUGCACAAUGGGCGGAAGCCUGAUGCAGCAACGCCGCGUGCGGGAUGACGGCCUUCGGGUUGUAAACCGCUUUCGCCUGUGACGAAGCGUGAGUGACGGUAAUGGGUAAAGAAGCACCGGCUAACUACGUG